Non-coding RNA from Paramuricea clavata, 661 nucleotides. The record is from the annotation of a GenBank genome assembly. Lineage: Eukaryota; Metazoa; Cnidaria; Anthozoa; Malacalcyonacea; Plexauridae.
AACUGUGUUUGUAUCAGUUUGUGGUCUGGGCCCAGUGGGCCGUUGCGAGCAGGGCUGCAGGGAGUUAUUAUGGCAGGAAGAAGACAAAUUUGAAGAAACAGACGAGGAAACAGAAGUCUAGUGUUGUGCAAUAUAAUGGAAAAACCCUAGGGAGCCACCUUAAGCUCACUAAUAGGAAAACUCUACGAAAAUGAUUUGUGUGGACGAAGCCUGGAAUCAUAACAUGCAGCUGAGACUAACUGAAAAAGUUCUCAUUUCAUUUCCUCAUUUGUAGCUAAAAAUGAAACACAAAUAUAGGAUGAUUGAACAGUUUUUUUCCAAUCUCAGCUACACGUUAUGAUAAUAUGAUUUAACUCAGUUCAAUUCAGACACGACCAGUAUCAUUGGAUGCGCAGUCGAUACAGCCGAAUGAAAGAGGCCUUAGUACAAGCAAAUUACAGCAGUUUCACAAGAUUCGCGACCCCCAACACAAACGUUCGCUGAACUGUAAUGUUUGUUUUUGACAUAAGGGCGUGGCUACCAACUAAUAUUUUAUAUUUAAUAUAAAAUACCAGUUGGUAGCCACGCCCUUAUGUCAAAAACAAACAUUACCGUUCAGCGAACGUUUGUGUUGGGGGGUCGCGAAUCUCGUGAAACUGCUGUAAACAACAUACGUUGAGAG